This 492-nucleotide ribosomal RNA is filed under the name uncultured bacterium. RNAcentral describes it as "partial 16S ribosomal RNA". It matches the Rfam family "Bacterial small subunit ribosomal RNA", at positions 29 to 507 of the family's 1533-position model. The record is from RNAcentral.
AGUGAACGCUGGCGGUAGGCCUAACACAUGCAAGUCGAACGGCAGCACAGUAAGAGCUUGCUCUUACGGGUGGCGAGUGGCGGACGGGUGAGGAAUACAUCGGAAUCUACUUUUUCGUGGGGGAUAACGUAGGGAAACUUACGCUAAUACCGCAUACGACCUACGGGUGAAAGCAGGGGAUCUUCGGACCUUGCGCGAUUGAAUGAGCCGAUGUCGGAUUAGCUAGUUGGCGGGGUAAAGGCCCACCAAGGCGACGAUCCGUAGCUGGUCUGAGAGGAUGAACAGCCACAGUGGAACUGAGACACGGUCCAGACUCCUACGGGAGGCAGCAGUGGGGAAUAUUGGACGAUGGGCGGAAGCCUGAUCCAGCCAUACCGCGUGGGUGAAGAAGGCCUUCGGGUUGUAAAGCCUUUUUGUUGGGAAAGAAAAGCAGCAGGUUAAUACCCCGCUGUUCUGACGGUACCCAAAGAAUAAGCACCGGCUAACUUCGUG